Melozone crissalis (California towhee) is the source of this 240-nucleotide long non-coding RNA. RefSeq lists it as uncharacterized. The transcript has 3 exons. NCBI's taxonomy places the organism in Eukaryota, Metazoa, Chordata, Aves, Passeriformes, Passerellidae. The record is from RefSeq and is a predicted model, not a curated record.
AACCUGCAGACAGGAAAGAGAGAAGCCAAACUCCCGGACAGAGAAUAUGGGGAAGGUGACACGAGAGAAGAGAGAAGAAGAAAAAGGCUGGGCAAGGUUGAUCUCGAUGCAAAUUCAUUCACAUCUGAGGAGCUUAAAAAGGCCUUGGCUAAAAUGAAGGAAAGUGAGAAGGCAGAAAGGAAGGCCCAAGAGGAAGAGGUGAGGAAGAAGUUCCGGCCCAUAGAGCAGCUGAAGGAGGAG